RNAcentral lists this long non-coding RNA (2270 nucleotides) under Ananas comosus (pineapple). Its description in RNAcentral is "long non-coding RNA (ACOM_LNC037692)". The record is from RNAcentral. Lineage: Eukaryota; Viridiplantae; Streptophyta; Magnoliopsida; Poales; Bromeliaceae.
UCUAAUAUGCUCCUGAAAGCAUCUGAAAUAUUUAAUUCAUCCCUAUUUUUUUUUUUUUUCAAAUAUACCCUCGUAUAGUUCUCCGUUAUUCAAAAAUAUCCCUACUGUUAGUACCUGUUAAGUUAUCUCGGAUUAAAUCCGGGUUAAAUUUCUAUUAGAGUUAAAAAAAAAUUAAAAUACUUCUUUUGCUCUUAAUUUAAAGACAAAUAAGAAAAGUUGGUCAUGAUAGGUGAAUGAUAUAUUUGAAAAGAAUCAAAAUACUUCUUUCGUCCUUAUCGUAAGGAUAAAUAAUAAAAGUUGGUGAUAGUAGAAGAACAUAUUUGAAAGAGCAAAAUAGCACUUUCACAAAAAUAACGAUUGUUGCUAAUUAACAGUUUAUUAAUAGAAUUUAACUAUAGGGUUAUAUCAGAAAUAAAUUAGAAUAUUAAAAGAUAUUUUUAAUAUUAGCUUUCUGAGAUGGGUAAAUCAAAAAGACGGAAAUUUUUCAAGGAUAUAUAAGCAAAUGCCCCUAAUAAAAAUAAUAAUUAUGAUUAUUAUUAUUAUAAAAUAACAUGUAUUCUAAUAUAUAAUAUAUAAAAAUAAUUUAUUUUGAAUUAUUUAUAUAUAUAUCUUUCAUUAUUCUCAAUAUUCUUUAAAUAACCACCCAACAUUUUUUUGUUAUUCUCAAGAAUAAAAAAAAAUAUUUAACCAAACACAAUUUUGAACAUUCAGAAUAACAAGUUAUUUCAUAAAUAACAAAUUAAUUUUUAAAAUUUUAACCCCUGAAAGAGAAUAAUAGCUAGCCCGACUCAACGACAUGUAAAAUAUUGUUUGUUGCAUAAGAUUUAGGAUACUAUCUAAUAUAUUCUUCAAAACUUAUGAAAUAUUUUAUAUAUUUUUAUCAUUUUUUUUGUUUCAAAUAUACUCAUUGUAUAUUUCUCUUUUAUUAAAAAAUAACCCCAUUUUAAUACCCGUUAAGGCAUAUAUCUCAAAUUAAAGCCGGAUACCAGAGUUAAAAGGAAGUCAAAAUACUUCUUUUCUUCCUAACUUAACGACAAAUAAGAAAAGUUGACGACGGUAGGAGAGUAUAUUUGAAAAGAUAAAAUAAUAAUUUUAUAGAGAAAACAUCAGUUUCAAUUUAAUUUUAGGAGCAUAUUUGAAAUAACUUUGAACAUUAAAAAAAUAUUUUUAAUAUUAGUCUUUCAUAAAAACUAAAUAAAACAUUCGAAAAUUUUCUAAUAAUAUAUAAGCAAUUACCUUCAUAAUUUUUCUGCCAUGGACAGUUACUUAUUGACUUAUGUAUGCAAAAUUUGUGGACGUAAGAUGCCAAAGAGACAAUUCGUGGGCUAUAUAUAAGUGGCCCCACCUAGCUUCAUAUUACACACAUAUAUAUAGGCUGAGGUCAUUAUACUCUUAUGAGUAUAAACCACUCUUAUGAGUAUAAACCCCCUUAUAUUUAUAAAUUUUUAACCGUUGAUUGAUGGGAUAUAUUGUUAGGAUGAUGGUGAUCCCCACUUAGAAUGAUAGUGAUCCACUAAGGUUGAGUGGGUAGUUGGUUGAAUAGUAUGAUCUAACAGGUGCAAAUGAUCAAUGGAAUAAAUCUAAGGGUCAAAAACUCAUGACUAUAAGUGAGCCAAUACUCAUAAAAGUAUUGUAGCCGGACUCUAUAUAGUCCAGCUACUAUACUCUUAUGAGUACGAUCACAUUUGUACUCAUAAGUUGUUUUCGAUGAUAGACCUUCCGAAUUGACGAUUCAGACCGUUAAACAUUAUCUAGAACAUUUAAAACUUCUAGAAAUUAAAUUUUAUAAUUUUCCGAUAUCAUUUACCUUAUGAUCAAUAGCUCACAAAAUUGACAAGUUUUAACGGCUGGUAUGUGAUACUUGCUAGUUUAACGGUAUAAAAGAAUUGGAAUAGCUUGAAUUUUUUAUAGAAAAUUCUAUUCAUUACCUAAAUAAAGAUCAAUAACCCUGAUCCUAAAUUGAAGGAUCCGAUCAUCUAUUUUUAGAAUAUCGUGCGAGUUUGACCGCUCAUUUUAUAUCCGCUUGAUAGACUUUAUAAUGAUUUCGAAAAAUUACGAAAUUUAUUUUCUAGAAGUUUCAAAUACUCUAGAUCAUGUUUAACGGUAUGUAUCGUCAAUUCGGAAGCCCGAACAUCGAAAAUAAUUUAUGAGUACGAAUGGCUCUAUACUCAUAAGAGUAUAGUAGCCCUACUCUCUCUCUCUCUCUCUCUCUCUCUCUCUAAUAUCCUCUUUCUUUUUCUCUCAAAGAAUUUUUUUUUUUUUAAUCUCAU